UUAGAAGACAAAACAUAUCCACCGAAGAACAACUUGGUUCUGUUUCGGUACAUCUCUAUGGGGAAAAAGGCGCAAAAUGUUCUUGCUCUAAUUUUGAUCCCUUUCUUUGUCUACAUAAGCCAAGCUGAAGGAGCAAUGGAACCUGCAAGUAACAUUACUGAAGUCGUGGAUGUGGAGUCCAUCAAGACAUUGUUCCAGUUGGCUUACAUGCCAGAAGCAGCUCGAGUAUAUCAUACUUGCGGACAAUGCAGCUGUUGCCAAGGAAAAAUCUGUACUGUAAUGGCAUGCUGCUGGGAGUAUAGAUGCGAUGGCAAUGCACAAGUGUCUUGUGUAGUUGAGGCUAAGACAUGCGGCUGUGCAAACUGCAGCUAGUCAUAUCGUUUCUAUGCUCACAAAUGGAUGACAAUAAAAUUUUCGUUUAGAGAUCA
Long non-coding RNA from Sorghum bicolor (sorghum), 428 nucleotides. RefSeq lists it as uncharacterized. Lineage: Eukaryota; Viridiplantae; Streptophyta; Magnoliopsida; Poales; Poaceae. The record is from RefSeq and is a predicted model, not a curated record. The transcript is spliced from 2 exons.